UACGUAGGGUGCAAGCGUUAAUCGGAAUUGCUGGGCGUAAAGCGUGCGCAGGCGGUUUUGUAAGACCGAUGUGAAAUCCCCGGGCUUAACCUGGGAACUGCAUUUGUGACUGCAUGGCUGGAGUGCGGCAGAGGGGGAUGGAAUUCCGCGUGUAGCAGUGAAAUGCGUAGAUAUGCGGAGGAACACCGAUGGCGAAGGCAAUCCCCUGGGCCUGCACUGACGCUCAUGCACGAAAGCGUGGGGAGCAAACAGG
RNAcentral lists this ribosomal RNA (253 nucleotides) under uncultured bacterium. RNAcentral's name for it is "partial 16S ribosomal RNA". It matches the Rfam family "Bacterial small subunit ribosomal RNA", at positions 524 to 776 of the family's 1533-position model. The record is from RNAcentral.